CAGAUUGGCUGUAAGGAAAAACGCUGUAAGCUGUUUUUCACCCAAUUCUGUCCAAAGAUCUGAUCUCCGAGCAGAGCAUUCUACGUACAUAUCCGCCUGGAGGAAUGCCCAAGGGCUUGUGAAACUAAUUUUGAACUCACCUUGCACUGCUGUUUCACAGGCUGAAAGAGUCAGCAUUAAGGAUCAGAGCAAGUGGUCAAGCAAGAAGGCUCCGGAACAAUGUGUUGUUUUGAAUGCUCAAACAAAUGGAGACCUAAGUUCAAACCAAAUCAAAAAGGAUGAGAAUUCAUCUAAGGAGCAUCCCAGCCCCUUGAGAUCUCAAGCUCAAGUCUUAUAUUCUUCAGCAUCUGGAAAGACAUUCCUAAGCCGUGCAGCUUCUUCAUACCCGGUCAAAGCAGUUCUGUUGGCACACAGAAAUCAUUACUCACAAAAUUCUACCUUAAAAGUGUUUGCUAAAAACUACGACAUUACAAAGACAACAAAACCACUAGUAGCAGGUAAAGAAAAUGAAGGCCAAACUAAAUCAAACGGGCAACCUAGAAAUAACAUCCGAGAGGUGCGUGAAUAUAUGCAUCACCAGGCCGUUGAGAGAAGGAGAAAGGUGCUGCAAAUGAGGAAAGAAGCACAGCGAGAGGACGAGAGGAGGCAAAGGAAUAUGCAUGAAGUAGUUAAAAAACAAAGGCAAGCGCUCCACAGGGCCAAGAGAGAACAGCAACAGGAGUACAAGGUAUGUAAAUGAAUGUUGUCUGGAAAAAGCAAA
This 760-nucleotide long non-coding RNA is filed under the name Sinocyclocheilus anshuiensis. RNAcentral describes it as "lncRNA (ENSSANG00000040012.1)". Lineage: Eukaryota; Metazoa; Chordata; Actinopteri; Cypriniformes; Cyprinidae. The record is from RNAcentral.